GUCGUUGCACGUUGCACUCCCCCUGUGGCCCGGGGGGUUUAGAAUACGGCCACGGUAACCCCUGCCUGUCGUAAGAGGCGACUAAAAGGGGGAUGUAAAGGAACGAGUAAGAUGAGUGGAGUUAAAAGUACAGAAAGAGUGUGAGAUUAAAAAGUACGGACAAGUAUGAGUGAAAUUAAAAGUACAGAAAUAUGUAACAUGAAUAAUGUAAAUUGAAAAUGGCGCGAUAAUGUGCUUGGUCGAUAACUUUUCGUUGGGCAAAAAGGGACAGAUGUAAAGUCCCUAAAGAACGCCACCCUCAAUAAGGCAUAUAUUCAUUUCAGUAUAUUCAGGACUCAUGUUUAACAUCAAAGUUCUUGAAGUAAUAUAAUAUAAAUUUAUACUAUUAUCGUGUAAUUUACCGACUGUCAAAGAAUCGAUUGUUCGAUAAAUCGGAUUUUCGGUAAUAUAUCAAUCUACAAAAUGAAUUAAGGAGAGACUCAUGUUUGGAAAGUAUUACAAGAUGACAAAAAAAAUGUUGCAUAAGAUUCUAUAAUCAUUUAGUAACUUUAAAUUCAUGAACGUACCAUUAAGAGACCAAAUAUGAGAAGGCAAGCUAUGGGCUGCAUAU
Long non-coding RNA from Osmia bicornis bicornis, 610 nucleotides. RefSeq lists it as uncharacterized. The record is from RefSeq and is a predicted model, not a curated record. NCBI's taxonomy places the organism in Eukaryota, Metazoa, Arthropoda, Insecta, Hymenoptera, Megachilidae. The transcript is spliced from 3 exons.